GCCCGCUUGGCUAAGUGGUAUAGCGUGUCACUAGUAAAGAAAAGACGAAGCACAACUUGUUUACGACGGUGUGUGUGUGUUUGUUUCUGACAAAUCUAGAUGCCAUGACAAGAUCAGCGGUUCGAUUCCGCUAGUGGGCA
Xylaria nigripes is the source of this 140-nucleotide non-coding RNA. Lineage: Eukaryota; Fungi; Ascomycota; Sordariomycetes; Xylariales; Xylariaceae. The record is from the annotation of a GenBank genome assembly.